RNAcentral lists this ribosomal RNA (531 nucleotides) under uncultured bacterium. Its description in RNAcentral is "bacterial SSU rRNA". It matches the Rfam family "Bacterial small subunit ribosomal RNA", at positions 373 to 918 of the family's 1533-position model. The record is from RNAcentral.
GGGGCGAAGCCUGACGCAGCACGCCGCGUGGAGGACGAAGGCUUUCUGAGUUGUAAACUCCUUUCAGCAGGGACGAUUGUGACGGUACCCACAGAAGAAGCCCCGGCUAACUACGUGCCAGCAGCCGCGGUGAUACGUAGGGGGCGAGCGUUGUCCGGAUUUACUGGGCGUAAAGAGCUCGUAGGCGGCUUGAUAAGUCGGGUGUGAAACCCCCAGGCUCAACCUGGGAUCGCCACUCGAUACUGUCAUGGCUAGAGUCCGGUAAGGGACCAUGGAAUUCCUGGUGUAGCGGUGAAAUGCGCAGAUAUCAGGAGGAACACCAGUAGCGAAGGCGGUGGUCUGGGCCGGUACUGACGCUGAGGAGCGAAAGCGUGGGGAGCGAACAGGAUUAGAUACCCUGGUAGUCCACGCUGUAAACGUUGGGCACUAGGUGUGGGGAGCUAUCGACGCUCUCCGUGCCGCAGCUAACGCAUUAAGUGCCCCGCCUGGGGAGUACGGCCGCAAGGCUAAAACUCAAAGGAAUUGACGGGG